UACCAGCACCCCGAGUGGUCGGGACGAUUAUUGGGCCUAAAGCAUCCGUAGCCGGUUCUACAAGUCUUCCGUUAAAUCCAACUGCUUAACAGGUGGGCUGCGGAAGAUACUAUAGAGCUAGGAGGCGGGAGAGGCAAGCGGUACUCGAUGGGUAGGGGUAAAAUCCUUUGAUCCAUUGAAGACCACCAGUGGCGAAGGCGGCUCACUGGUCCGGUACUGACGCUGAGGUGCGAAAGCGUGGGGAGCAAACAGG
RNAcentral lists this ribosomal RNA (253 nucleotides) under uncultured bacterium. RNAcentral's name for it is "partial 16S ribosomal RNA". It matches the Rfam family "Archaeal small subunit ribosomal RNA", at positions 474 to 727 of the family's 1478-position model. The record is from RNAcentral.